CAUGCACCACCACAUCUGU
This 19-nucleotide unclassified non-coding RNA is filed under the name Mus musculus (house mouse). RNAcentral's name for it is "oocyte_clustered_small_RNA11543". Lineage: Eukaryota; Metazoa; Chordata; Mammalia; Rodentia; Muridae. The record is from RNAcentral.